This 301-nucleotide ribosomal RNA is filed under the name uncultured bacterium. RNAcentral's name for it is "partial 16S ribosomal RNA". It matches the Rfam family "Bacterial small subunit ribosomal RNA", at positions 509 to 807 of the family's 1533-position model. The record is from RNAcentral.
CAGUAGCCGCGGUAAUACGUAGGGUGCGAGCGUUAAUCGGAAUUACUGGGCGUAAAGCGUGCGCAGGCGGUUCGUUAAGACAGAUGUGAAAUCCCCGGGCUUAACCUGGGAACUGCAUUUGUGACUGACGGGCUAGAGUAUGGCAGAGGGGGGUAGAAUUCCACGUGUAGCAGUGAAAUGCGUAGAGAUGUGGAGGAAUACCGAUGGCGAAGGCAGCCCCCUGGGCCAAUACUGACGCUCAUGCACGAAAGCGUGGGGAGCAAACAGGAUUAGAGACCCCCGUAGUCCCUGUCUCUUAUAC